UGAAUGGAUAGAGGUUGCGUGAUUCAUGAGUAAUUUAUCGGAUGUGGCAGGCACAGUGGAAGAUAAUGGAAAGGGAAGAACGCCGAAAGAAUUCUUUUCCUGUAGAGAGAUUCUUGGGCAUAUAAUGAAUAAUUAUAUGACUGUCAUCUUAAGAUGGAUGGAGCGCUAUCACAGAU
This 176-nucleotide non-coding RNA is filed under the name Lachnospiraceae bacterium 3-1. RNAcentral describes it as "Lysine riboswitch aptamer". It matches the Rfam family "Lysine riboswitch aptamer". Rfam says of the family: Riboswitches are metabolite binding domains within certain messenger RNAs that serve as precision sensors for their corresponding targets. Allosteric rearrangement of mRNA structure is mediated by ligand binding, and this results in modulation of gene expression. The record is from Rfam by way of RNAcentral. Lineage: Bacteria; Bacillati; Bacillota; Clostridia; Lachnospirales; Lachnospiraceae. RNAcentral also lists the same sequence under 1 other name.